GACGAACGCUGGCGGCAUGCCUAAUACAUGCAAGUCGAGCGAACAGAUGAAGUGCUUGCACUUCUGACGUUAGCGGCGAACGGGUGAGUAACACGUAAGGAAUCUACCUAUAAGCGGGGGAUAACAUUCGGAGACGGGUGCUAAUACCGCAUAAUAUCUUCUUCCGCAUGGAAGAAGAUUGAAAGACGGCUCGGCUGUCACUUAUAGAUGACCUUGCGGUGCAUUAGUUAGUUGGUGGGGUAACGGCCUACCAAGACGAUGAUGCAUAGCCGACCUGAGAGGGUGAUCGGCCACAUUGGGACUGAGACACGGCCCAAACUCCUACGGGAGGCAGCAGUAGGGAAUCUUCCGCAAUGGGCGAAAGCCUGACGGAGCAAUGCCGCGUGAGUGAAGAAGGCCUUCGGGUCGUAAAACUCUGUUAUAAGAGAAGAACAAAUUGUAGAGUAACUGCUACAGUCUUGACGGUAUCUUAUCAGAAAGCCACGGCUAACUACGUGCCAGCCGCCGCCGUAA
This 513-nucleotide ribosomal RNA is filed under the name uncultured bacterium. Its description in RNAcentral is "partial 16S ribosomal RNA". It matches the Rfam family "Bacterial small subunit ribosomal RNA", at positions 28 to 523 of the family's 1533-position model. The record is from RNAcentral.